GAUUCUGUGGAUUUGAAGGAUCUGCUCCAAUAUUUGCGAGACAGGCAGCAGGAGCAGGGACGGUCUGAUGCCCCCCAAAGCUCCCAGGAAUCUGCCCAGAUGCCCCAUGAGUGCUCCCCUUUUGCAGCACAAGAGGCAGAAGUCUGUCUCCAUGGCCUUUGUGAGCUGUCAGCGUUCCACCCGAGAAAAGGC
Molecule: long non-coding RNA, 192 nt
Organism: Sceloporus undulatus (fence lizard)
Lineage: Eukaryota; Metazoa; Chordata; Lepidosauria; Squamata; Phrynosomatidae
Exons: 3
Source: RefSeq, a predicted model, not a curated record